RNAcentral lists this ribosomal RNA (422 nucleotides) under uncultured Chitinophaga sp. Its description in RNAcentral is "bacterial SSU rRNA". It matches the Rfam family "Bacterial small subunit ribosomal RNA", at positions 355 to 774 of the family's 1533-position model. Lineage: Bacteria; Pseudomonadati; Bacteroidota; Chitinophagia; Chitinophagales; Chitinophagaceae. The record is from RNAcentral.
UAAGGAAUAUUGGUCAAUGGACGGAAGUCUGAACCAGCCAUGCCGCGUGGAGGAUGAAGGCCCUCUGGGUUGUAAACUUCUUUUAUCUGGGACGAAACACUUCUUAUCUAAGGAGCUUGACGGUACCAGGUGAAUAAGCACCGGCUAACUCCGUGCCAGCAGCCGCGGUAAUACGGAGGGUGCAAGCGUUAUCCGGAUUCACUGGGUUUAAAGGGUGCGUAGGCGGACAUGUAAGUCCGUGGUGAAAUCUCCGAGCUUAACUCGGAAACUGCCAUGGAUACUAUAUGUCUUGAAUGUUGUGGAGGUUAGCGGAAUAUGUCAUGUAGCGGUGAAAUGCAUAGAUAUGACAUAGAACACCAAUUGCGAAGGCAGCUGGCUACACAAAUAUUGACGCUGAGGCACGAAAGCGUGGGGAUCAAACA